Molecule: ribosomal RNA, 387 nt
Filed under: uncultured bacterium
Lineage: Bacteria
Description: bacterial SSU rRNA
Rfam family: Bacterial small subunit ribosomal RNA
Source: RNAcentral
ACGAACGCUGGCGGCGUGCUUAACACAUGCAAGUCGAGCGGUAAGGCCCUUUCGGGGGUACGACGAGCGGCGAACGGGUGAGUAACACGUGGGUGACCUGCCCUCAGCUCUGGGAUAAGCCCGGGAAACUGGGUCUAAUACUGGAUAUGACUCCAUGACGCAUGUUGUGGGGUGGAAAGCCUUGUGCGGCUGAGGAUGGGCCCGCGGCCUAUCAGCUUGUUGGUGGGGGAUGGCCUACCAAGGCGACGACGGGUAGCCGGCCUGAGAGGGCGACCGGCCACACUGGGACUGAGACACGGCCCAGACUCCUACGGGAGGCAGCAGUGGGGAAUCUUGCGCAAUGGGCGAAAGCCUGACGCAGCGACGCCGCGUGAGGGAUGACGGCCU